RNAcentral lists this long non-coding RNA (961 nucleotides) under Homo sapiens (human). Its description in RNAcentral is "HSALNT0299542". Lineage: Eukaryota; Metazoa; Chordata; Mammalia; Primates; Hominidae. The record is from RNAcentral.
GGAUAUAUUGCAUUUAUUUGUAACUAUCUUUUUAUCUGAAAUUUAUCAAAUGAAAGUAUUUAGUAACUAAUUUUGUCUUUUAUUUUUAUUUAGCGUAAGUAGGAUGGAUUGUAGUAAUUGAGUUCUAAAUACAAAAAAUACUUACUAAUUUUUUUCUUUUUUAACAGUCUAGGCUGAAAUUUACCUGUUUGAAAAAAAGAACCAAUGGAGUUGUUAAUUAGCAGUGACAUGAUUUAAGAGACAAUAACCAGAAAAGAAAUAAGUAAAAACCACGUAGGAAACUUCUCUGUGAUUGAUCUGCACUCUUAAAUUGUAUUUAAGUAUGCGUGUGUCCUGUGGCAGUAGCUGCUCUAGUUUUAACACUGGCCUCUAUUUAAAAGGCAGCCUCAUCAAGAUACUUACAGUAUUUCUCAGCCAAGCACAGAAAUCAAAUAACGGUCCCUCCAGAUAACAGCCACAGACUUGAAUCCUAUGUAUAAUCUUAGUAACCCAAUAAAAUAACUUAUUUGAAGUAAACUCUAUUGGAUUAACAUACAGUUUCUAUAUGAAACUGGCCUCUUCAUUACAUUGUUUGCCACAGGCUUCUUAAUCUGUAAAGUCUGAAAAGAACAAUUUUUUGUUUUUACUGAAAAACAGUUUUAUGUUAAUAUUUGUUGUCCUGUAUGUUGUCUAUUAGUAGACUGGUUAUCCUUGAAAACAAAGACUUUGAUAGCUGUUUGUUAGUGUAAGUGGAUAAAAUGUGGAAUACUUCUGUAUUUAACAUAAAGUAAGCUUGUGAGUAGUUUAUAUUUCACCUGAUUAUACUUAAACUAUGAAAAUAUUAUCAGUAAAACUUUUAUUUAAAAGACACCUUAUUUCCAGAAUUAUUAAUGGCAUAGAUGCAUAACCAAGACAAAAAACAAAGGAAACAAAGAAGCUUUGCAGUCCCAAAUGAUAACAUGCAAUUUGGAUAAGGACAAAA